RNAcentral lists this ribosomal RNA (435 nucleotides) under uncultured bacterium. Its description in RNAcentral is "partial 16S ribosomal RNA". It matches the Rfam family "Bacterial small subunit ribosomal RNA", at positions 29 to 507 of the family's 1533-position model. The record is from RNAcentral.
AACGAACGCUGGCGGCAUGCCUAACACAUGCAAGUCGAACGAUUGCCUUCGGGUGAUAGUGGCGCACGGGUGCGUAACGCGUGGUAAUCUGCCCUUAGGUUCGGAAUAACAGCUGGAAACGGCUGCUAAUACCGGAUGAUAUCGCGAGAUCAAAGAUUUAUCGCCUGAGGAUGAGCCCGCGUUGGAUUAGGUAGUUGGUGGGGUAAAGGCCUACCAAGCCGACGAUCCAUAGAUGGUCUGAGAGGAUGAUCAGCCACACUGGGACUGAGACACGGCCCAGACUCCUACGGGAGGCAGCAGUGGGGAAUAUUGGACAAUGGGCGCAAGCCUGAUCCAGCAAUGCCGCGUGAGUGAUGAAGGCCCUAGGGUUGUAAAGCUCUUUUACCCGGGAAGAUAAUGACUGUACCGGGAGAAUAAGCCCCGGCUAACUCCGUG